Molecule: ribosomal RNA, 526 nt
Filed under: uncultured eukaryote
Lineage: Eukaryota
Description: bacterial SSU rRNA
Rfam family: Eukaryotic small subunit ribosomal RNA
Source: RNAcentral
AGUCAUAUGCUUGUCUCAAAGAUUAAGCCAUGCAUGUCUAAGUAUAAGCACCUUAUACUGUGAAACUGCGAAUGGCUCAUUAAAUCAGUUAUCGUUUAUUUGAUGAUCUCUUGCUACUUGGAUACCCGUGGUAAUUCUAGAGCUAAUACAUGCGACAACACCCGACUUCUGGAAGGGUGGUAUUUAUUAGAUAAAAAACCUUCUCGCUUCGGCGAUGUCCCGGUGAUUCAUAAUAACUUUUCGAAGUGCAUGGCCUUGCGCCGGCGCUGGUUCAUUCAAAUUUCUGCCCUAUCAACUUUCGAUGGUAGUGUAUUGGACUACCAUGGCGUUUACGGGUAACGGAGGAUUAGGGUUCGAUUCCGGAGAGGGAGCCUGAGAAACGGCUACCACAUCUAAGGAAGGCAGCAGGCGCGUAAAUUACCCACUGGCCGAAGGCCGAGGUAGUGACGAAAAAUAACGAUACCGGACUCAUCCGAGGCCCGGUAAUCGGAAUGAGUACACUUUAAAUCCUUUAACGAGUAUCAAU